This 21-nucleotide non-coding RNA is filed under the name Arabidopsis thaliana (thale cress). The record is from RNAcentral. Lineage: Eukaryota; Viridiplantae; Streptophyta; Magnoliopsida; Brassicales; Brassicaceae.
UAUCUUCAUGAAGUUGGGUGU